Molecule: ribosomal RNA, 405 nt
Filed under: uncultured bacterium
Lineage: Bacteria
Description: partial 16S ribosomal RNA
Rfam family: Bacterial small subunit ribosomal RNA
Source: RNAcentral
AUUGAACGCUGGCGGCAGGCUUAACACAUGCAAGUCGAACGAGUGGCGGACGGGUGAGUAAUGCUUGGGAACCUAGCUUAUAGAGGGGGAUAACUAUGGGAAACUGUAGCUAAUACCGCGUACCAUAGGAUGAGCCCAUGUGGGAUUAGGUAGUUGGUGGGGUAAAGGCUCACCAAGCCGACGAUCUCUAGCUGGUCUGAGAGGAUGACCAGCCACACUGGGACUGAGACACGGCCCAGACUCCUACGGGAGGCAGCAGUGGGGAAUAUUGCGCAAUGGGGGCAACCUGACGCAGCCAUGCCGCGUGAAUGAAGAAGGCCUUCGGGUUGUAAAGGUCUUUCGGUAGCGAGGCGUUAACUACAGAAGAAGCACCGGCUAACUACGUGCCAGCAGCCGCGGUAAUUC